RNAcentral lists this unclassified non-coding RNA (307 nucleotides) under Clavicipitaceae sp. RNAcentral describes it as "partial contains 5.8S ribosomal RNA, internal transcribed spacer 2, and large subunit ribosomal RNA". The stretch from base 1 to 71 matches the Rfam family "5.8S ribosomal RNA", at positions 84 to 154 of the family's 154-position model. The record is from RNAcentral. Lineage: Eukaryota; Fungi; Ascomycota; Sordariomycetes; Hypocreales; Clavicipitaceae.
GUGAGUCAUCGAAUCUUUGAACGCACAUUGCGCCCGCCAGUAUUCUGGCGGGCAUGCCUGUUCGAGCGUCAUUUCAACCCUCAAGACCCCUGUGGACUUGGUGUUGGGGACCGGCGGCGCCUCUCUGGUGUCACCGCCCCCUAAAUGAAUUGGCGGCCUCGUCGCGGCCCUCCUCUGCGUAGUAGCACACACCUCGCAACAGGAGCCCGACGGCGGCCACUGCCGUAAAACGCCCAAACUUUUUUAGAGUUGACCUCGAAUCAGGUAGGAAUACCCGCUGAACUUAAGCAUAUCAAUAAGCGGAGGA